GGCUUGCAUUUGGGUAGCACGCAACGCCACAGCGGUAUCAGUCGAAAAGUACGGGUUACCAGUACCGCCCGCAAAAAUGACAAUGUCAUGGUUUUUAAAGGCAUCAUCAAUCGUGGCCUGGGACACAAUGUGGGUCGCUAAACUAGGACAGCUCACUGCACUCAACAGGGUGCUGUUAAGUUUAUGACUAUCAAACUUAGCCUUUAAAAAAGCGCCGUUAAUAACCGUGGCCAUAAUGCCCAAGUGGUGCCCUGCUAUUUCGGUAAUGUUGUAGUCACUACAAGACUUACCGCGCAUAAUGUUGCCCCCACCAAUCACAAUGCCUAUUUGGUAGUUGGGUACUAGUUGUUUUAGUUGAGCGAUGACAGUUUCUAAAAAUUGGUUGGAAAACGGUUCGGAACUAUCAGCGCUCAUGCCAGCACCGCUUAGUUUGAUUAGGAUCUUUAGGCGCAUCUUAUUUUUUCAUUUGCGCACUUACUUCACUAGCGAAGUCAACUGCUUCUUUGACAAUGCCUUCACCAACUUCAAAGCGCACAAAAUGGAUUACUUUACUGUUCUUUUCCUUUAAGAAUUGACCAACUGUUUUGGAUUCAUCGACCAAGUACUUUUGGUUUACCAGACAAAUGUCAAUUAAGAGUUUGUUCACGCGUCCAGCAAUAGUUUUGUCUAAGAACGCUGCUUUCUUCGGAUUGUCUUGGACUUCUAGUUUGGCUUGGGACUUAAUGAUGCUGGUUUCGUUAGCUAACCAUGUUUGAUCCACAUUGUCCUGAUCAAUGAACUGCGGUGAGUUAGCGGCAAUGUGCAUUGCUAAGUGUUUACCAUCUUGUUCAUCAAACUUGCCUUCCACUUCCAAGAUUACGCCAAUCCGUUUGUUAGCGUGGAGGUAGCUAAAGAUGUGGUUAGUUUUGCUUUCAAACACCAUUAAGCGGCGCAACACAAUCUUUUCAUCAGUUUUGGAAGCGACUAAAGCCAAACGUUCUGCUACCUUUUCUUUGCCUUGGAGUUCGUACUGGGUUACUUCU
Molecule: small RNA, 1022 nt
Filed under: Mycoplasmoides pneumoniae M129
Lineage: Bacteria; Bacillati; Mycoplasmatota; Mycoplasmoidales; Mycoplasmoidaceae
Description: Mycoplasma pneumoniae M129 ncRNA
Source: RNAcentral